RNAcentral lists this long non-coding RNA (331 nucleotides) under Solanum tuberosum (potato). Its description in RNAcentral is "long non-coding RNA (STUB_LNC001769)". Lineage: Eukaryota; Viridiplantae; Streptophyta; Magnoliopsida; Solanales; Solanaceae. The record is from RNAcentral.
UCAUAAUGGGUAGUUAACAAGACUACCUUUGAUUCUUUCACCUGCUCAGUACCUUUAUGAGUCAUCCGGAGACAAUCCCAAAUCUCCUUGGUGGAUUCACAGGCGGAGAUACGAUUAUAUUCUUCAGCACCAAUCCCACACACUAGUAACUUCUUGGCUUUAUAGCUUUUCUCGAUCUUCUUUCGGUCAGCUUCAUCAUACUGUUGACGAGUAUUUGGAAUAACUCUUGUGAUUUCACCUUCAUUAACCUCUUUUGUGGGUAUGAAAGGACCAUCUAGCACAAUGUCCCAUAGUUCAGUGUCUUCCGCCAUCAAGAAGUCGUGCAUCCUCG